This 239-nucleotide long non-coding RNA is filed under the name Capsicum annuum. RNAcentral describes it as "long non-coding RNA (CANN_LNC019067)". Lineage: Eukaryota; Viridiplantae; Streptophyta; Magnoliopsida; Solanales; Solanaceae. The record is from RNAcentral.
GUGCCUGAUUAUAUUCUUAAUUCUGUCAAUGGGCCUCAUUACUUGAUUUUAGCUUGAUUUAUGAAUGGGAGAAUAAAUUCACAAUAUGAGUAUUUUUUUGUAUUUGUUUUUAUAGUGUGGCAAUGGAUAGAGACCUCUUAAGAAGGAAAAGCUCUAUUAUAGAGGUUUUUACGUGUUUUCAGUAACGUCCAGGUUGGAUAGGUUUACCUAUCUUUUACACUUUGCCUAAUUAUGAUAUU